This 73-nucleotide transfer RNA is filed under the name Cryptomonas gyropyrenoidosa. Its description in RNAcentral is "tRNA-Phe". It matches the Rfam family "tRNA". From Rfam's summary of the family: Transfer RNA (tRNA) molecules are approximately 80 nucleotides in length. Their secondary structure includes four short double-helical elements and three loops (D, anti-codon, and T loops). Further hydrogen bonds mediate the characteristic L-shaped molecular structure. tRNAs have two regions of fundamental functional importance: the anti-codon, which is responsible for specific mRNA codon recognition, and the 3' end, to which the tRNAs corresponding amino acid is attached (by aminoacyl-tRNA synthetases). tRNAs cope with the degeneracy of the genetic code in two manners: having more than one tRNA (with a specific anti-codon) for a particular amino acid; and 'wobble' base-pairing, i.e. permitting non-standard base-pairing at the 3rd anti-codon position. Lineage: Eukaryota; Cryptophyceae; Cryptomonadales; Cryptomonadaceae. The record is from RNAcentral.
AUCUGGGUAACUCAGAGGUUAGAGUGAAAGACUGAAAAUCUUUAAGUCGAUGGUUCAAAUCCGUCUCCAGAUA